AGUGCUGUAAUAGUAAUUCAACUUAGUAUGAGAGGAACUGUUGAUUUGCACAAUUGGUAAUUGCGCUUGGUUGAAAAGCUAGUGGCGUGAAGCUACCAUGCAUGGGAUUAUAACUGAAUGCCUCUAAGUCAGAAUCUGUGCUAAAUGUAGUGCUCUCUACCUCCUUAACUGUUACCUGAUUAAGGUUAAGGGGGCCAAGAACACAUGACGUGAGCACCAUGUAAGUGGUAGAGUAGCUUUGCUGUUACGAUCCAUUGAGGUUCAUCCCUCUGUCUUUUGUCUU
This 283-nucleotide non-coding RNA is filed under the name Selaginella moellendorffii. RNAcentral describes it as "rRNA LSU_rRNA_eukarya". It matches the Rfam family "Eukaryotic large subunit ribosomal RNA", at positions 3004 to 3401 of the family's 3401-position model. The record is from Rfam by way of RNAcentral. Lineage: Eukaryota; Viridiplantae; Streptophyta; Lycopodiopsida; Selaginellales; Selaginellaceae.